Small nuclear RNA from Rhineura floridana, 165 nucleotides. RefSeq annotates it as U1 spliceosomal RNA. The record is from RefSeq and is a predicted model, not a curated record. The transcript has a single exon. Lineage: Eukaryota; Metazoa; Chordata; Lepidosauria; Squamata; Rhineuridae.
ACGGACACCUGGCAGGGAAGAUACCUUGAUCACGAAGGAGGUUUUCCCAGGGUGAGGCUCAUCCAUUGCACUCCAGGUGUGCUGACCCUUGCGAUUUCCCCAAAUGCGGGAAACUUGACUGCAUAAUUUGUGGUAGCAGAACAAUGGUUGAAAUGCCUUUUUUAA